RNAcentral lists this long non-coding RNA (324 nucleotides) under Panax ginseng (ginseng). RNAcentral describes it as "long non-coding RNA (PGIN_LNC000264)". The record is from RNAcentral. Lineage: Eukaryota; Viridiplantae; Streptophyta; Magnoliopsida; Apiales; Araliaceae.
CUAUACAUAUACUCAUCUUCGUUUAAUCUCAUAGCAUCUCUUCAUUUGAAAUCUUAUCUCCAAUAAUAAAAUUUCCAUAUGUACUUAUAUAACAUUUCUUAGACUAUUCCGUUCACAUCGAAUUUACAGGUAUCGUACUACCUUAUUCUUGAUAUUCCUCCAAGUACAUAUUAAUUCAUUUCUAGGGUUUAGGAAUUUUGUAAUCCCAUAUUUUCUCUAUUCUCAUUCGAAUAGCAAACCAUAUAGGUUUUACUUGAAAAUUUUAAAUAAAUCCUCAAAUUGUCAUCUAGGUUUUAUUCUUUAACCUUUAUUCUAAUCAUUUAA